AGCUAAUUAGUUUAAUUAAAAUUUUUAUUUGUGGUAUAAAAGAUUGUUUAGCUU
RNAcentral lists this transfer RNA (54 nucleotides) under Poteriostomum imparidentatum. RNAcentral's name for it is "tRNA-His". Lineage: Eukaryota; Metazoa; Nematoda; Chromadorea; Rhabditida; Strongylidae. The record is from RNAcentral.